UGGGGAAUCUUAGACAAUGGGGGAAACCCUGAUCUAGCCAUGCCGCGUGAGCGAUGAAGGCCUUAGGGUUGUAAAGCUCUUUCAGCUGGGAAGAUAAUGACGGUACCAGCAGAAGAAGCCCCGGCUAACUCCGUGCCAGCAGCCGCGGUAAUACGGAGGGGGCUAGCGUUGUUCGGAAUUACUGGGCGUAAAGCGCACGUAGGCGGAUUAGUCAGUCAGAGGUGAAAUCCCAGGGCUCAACCCUGGAACUGCCUUUGAUACUGCUAGUCUUGAGGUCGAGAGAGGUGAGUGGAAUUCCGAGUGUAGAGGUGAAAUUCGUAGAUAUUCGGAGGAACACCAGUGGCGAAGGCGGCUCACUGGCUCGAUACUGACGCUGAGGUGCGAAAGCGUGGGGAGCAAAACAGGAUUAGAUACCCUGGUAGUCCACGCCGUAAACGAUGAAUGCCAGUCGUCGGGUUGCAUGCAAUUCGGUGACACACCUAACGGAUUAAGCAUUCCGCCUGGGGAGUACGGUCGCAAGAUUAAAACUCAAAGGAAUUGACGGGGUCAUAGCUGUUUCC
Molecule: ribosomal RNA, 560 nt
Filed under: uncultured bacterium
Lineage: Bacteria
Description: partial 16S ribosomal RNA
Rfam family: Bacterial small subunit ribosomal RNA
Source: RNAcentral